RNAcentral lists this ribosomal RNA (253 nucleotides) under uncultured bacterium. RNAcentral's name for it is "partial 16S ribosomal RNA". It matches the Rfam family "Bacterial small subunit ribosomal RNA", at positions 524 to 776 of the family's 1533-position model. The record is from RNAcentral.
UACAGAGACUGCGAGCGUUAUUCGGAUUCACUGGGCGUAAAGGGUGCGCAGGCGGCCAAGUGUGUUAGGCGUGAAAGCCUGGGGCUUAACCUCAGAAUUGCACCUAAAACUACAUGGCUAGAGCAUUGGAGAGGGUAGCGGAAUUCACGGUGUAGCAGUGAAAUGCGUAGAUAUCGUGAGGAACACCAGAGGAGAAGGCGGCUACCUGGACAAUUGCUGACGCUCAGGCACGAAAGCGUGGGGAGCAAAAGGG